GAUGAACGCUGGCGGCGUGCCUAACACAUGCAAGUCGAGCGAACAGACGAGGAGCUUGCGCCUCCGACGUUAGCGGCGGACGGGAGAGUAACACGUGGAUAACCUACCUAUAAGACUGGGAUAACAACGGGAAACCGGAGCUAAUACCGGAUAAUAUAUUGAACCGCAUGGUUCAAUAGUGAAAGACGGUUUUGCUGUCACUUAUAGAUGGAUCCGCGCCGCAUUAGUUAGUUGGUAAGGUAACGGCUUACCAAGGAAACGAUGCGUAGCCGUCCUGAGAGGGUGGUCCGCCACCUGGUAUCUGAGACUCGGCCCACACUCUUGCGCUGGGCCGCAGUCCGGACUCCUCCGCGAUGGGCGAGUGCUUGACCUUGCGCCGCCGCGUGAGUGCUGACGGUCCUCGGAUCGUAGAACUCUGUUAUUAGUGGAGUUCAAAUGUGUUUGAAACUAUGCACGUCUUGACGGUACCUAGUCAGAAAGCCCCGGCUAACUACGUG
RNAcentral lists this ribosomal RNA (497 nucleotides) under uncultured bacterium. RNAcentral describes it as "partial 16S ribosomal RNA". It matches the Rfam family "Bacterial small subunit ribosomal RNA", at positions 28 to 507 of the family's 1533-position model. The record is from RNAcentral.